This is a non-coding RNA of Hordeum vulgare subsp. vulgare (domesticated barley), 125 nucleotides long. The record is from Rfam. NCBI's taxonomy places the organism in Eukaryota, Viridiplantae, Streptophyta, Magnoliopsida, Poales, Poaceae.
CAAAUACUCCCUCCGUCAAAAAAUACUUGUUAGAGAAAUGGAUAAAAAUAGAUGUAUCUAGAACUAAAAUAUGUCUAGAUAUAUCCAUUCCUUCAACAACUAUUUUCGGAAGGAGUGAGUACUAU